UGAACAUCUCGGUUCCGGUUGAUCCACUUGAGUGGCAGAUCUCUCAGGACACUGCUAACAGCAUCGUCGCAUGGUUUGCUAAUACAAUAGGGGCGGCUGAGUCUGUCUUGAGGGUUGCUGCAACUGGGCAUGACAAGAGGCUAUUCUUCAAGGUUGCCAUUUGUCUGUAUAUUCUAUCAGCUUUGGGACGAUUGGUCUCAGGUUUUACUGUUGCUUAUGCUGCAUUAUGCCUGUUCUGUCUCUAUAUUCUUACUGAGAAAUCACAAUCAAGCAGCAGUUUUUUCUCUCGGAUUCGAAGGGGUAGUAAUGGUACUUCAUUAGAGUUAGAUAGCAUGUAGAUUGCAAGACAUCUCUUGUGUUAUUCAAUUGAGAGUUAAGAAUGCUGUAAAUAUGAGAUUGUAUUCAAGUCGCCCUGCUUUAGUUCAGGGAAACAUUAUCCUUUGACAACCUUUUAUGGUUGGUUUUAGAAAUUAAAUUGGAAUUUAAUUUCCG
RNAcentral lists this unclassified non-coding RNA (492 nucleotides) under Hevea brasiliensis (rubber tree). The record is from RNAcentral. Lineage: Eukaryota; Viridiplantae; Streptophyta; Magnoliopsida; Malpighiales; Euphorbiaceae.